Long non-coding RNA from Hemibagrus wyckioides, 9577 nucleotides. RefSeq lists it as uncharacterized. The record is from RefSeq and is a predicted model, not a curated record. Lineage: Eukaryota; Metazoa; Chordata; Actinopteri; Siluriformes; Bagridae. The transcript is spliced from 3 exons.
ACUGUUUAAAGACAAACACAGUGGACGUCAAGAACAGCAAAAGGCACCGUAAAGUAUAUUUCUCUGCCUUGUUAAUAACAAUAAGUGAAAAAGUAAUGACCUGGUUACUGAUGUCCAGAUGAGUUUCUCAGUAAGAUAUUGACAUGUUAAAGAACUUCCUCCUGCCCUUUCCUCUUACUUUCCUAAGAACGAUUGACAAGUGCUGUAGUGUUCUGUAUUUGUACAAGGCUGUGCCAGAAAAGGUCAACUUUUCAUCGCUGUAUUGCACCACAGACUUGCUUCAGACACACACACACACACACACACACACACACACACACACACACACAUGCAUACUUGAGCUCUGUUUAGUCUCCCUGCUGUGUUGAGUAAGAAACCCUUGGCCAGCUCUGUUGUUUGGACUGUUAAAACAAUCGUGUGAGCGCAUAAAACAAUUCUCUCUGAUGCCCCACACAGAGGUGGUGACUGUGUGUGUGUGUGUGUGUGUGUGUGUGUGCGUGUGCGGUUAGGCCUUUGGACUCUAACUCCAGCACCUCCUCCAACGCGCUGACCCAAUACUUCACAUUCCUUCCUGGAAUAGAGAGGCCUAUUAAUACCACCCCUCUUCCAGGGCUUUAGAAUUUAUUUAUUCACUUCUUUGUCUUCACAUGAGUGCGUUUCUCAUUACGCUUUCACAAUCAAGUGUCUCAUCGCCACAACACGGCAUGACUUUGUGGCAUUAAACAUGUCUGUGUCAGUUUUCUUUCAGCUGCCUUCUUACUAGACUACACAUACGCGUUAUUCGGACACAGAUUGGCGGCUUGAUAGUUUUAUUACUCUUCAUGCGUUUGAUCAUUCGUGCCAAAUAAAUGACCAAAUCAAAGUCCAGGAAUAUACAUUCUCAGUGAUAAGUACUACUUGUGUUGUCACAAGUUUGUGCUCAUACACUCCAUUCAGUGGACUUUAUCUCCAGCUUAUUCGUAAGGCACAGCAUAGGAUGGAUUUGCAUUUUAACAGACAACCCAUUUUCCAGAGAAACCAUUUGAAUUCCCAUUAUGGCUGUAUAAACUGAAUAAAUCGGGUGAGCCACAUGGAAGGAUACUGUAGCUGCAACCGGUGACAUAAGCUCUGCCACCACGACUGUCACCACAGCCUGACGAAAUAAUAUCCAGCAUCAUUGUGGUGUUUCAGUGAAAUUCUUCAUCCCUGGAGGUUGGGGUCAGACAGGGUCAGCCAUGAUGGUGUCCCAGGAGCAGGGUGGGUUGGGGGCCUUGCUCAAGGGCCCAACAGUGGCAGCUUGGUGGUGCUGGGGCUUGAACCCUGAUCUUCCGGUCAAUGACCCAGAGCCUUAACUACUUGAGGUACCACCGGCCCCCCAGAAAUUUGCUGUGCAUUGUGGUUUUCCUUCCAUUCUCCUCUCUCCAUCUGGACUUCACCAUUCCCUUUCAUAUCUGUGUGUAUAAAAUUAUACAAGGGCCUGGGAUUCAAUAAUAAGCAGUAGCCCUACUAUAAGACUGUGAGAUUUAUGUAAUAUAUUAUAAUCACGUUUUUAAAUCUGAUAUAAUGACCUUUGAGUCAUUGGCACAUGUGUAAUGGCUACUGUCUGCUGAGAUUCUGUAUUCUCUCGGACAGACUACACAAAAUUACCCUUAAGUGUGAAUUGUGUGUGUGUGUGUGUGUGUGUGUGUGUGUGUGUGUGUGUGGGUGGGUGUGUGAUGUGACUGGUGUCUCAUCCAGGGUGUAUUCUCGUGUCACCCCCAGUGUUCCUGGGCUCGGCCCCGGAUCCACAGCCACUCUGAGCAGGAUAAAGCAGCAACUGAAGAUGAAUCAUUCUGCAUUCACUGCUUUUAGAAUUUACAAUAUUAAUACUCCAAAAGUAUUGGACUGGCAUCAUUGGUUUGUAGAUCAAAAAUGACUAUGAGACAACAGAUCAUUUCAGCUUUAAUCUUAAUUUACAUGGAGAUAUGUUAAACAACCUUUGUUUGGCACCUUUCGUUUAGACCCACCAAUUUUUCAAGUGAUCAAAAAUAAUGGAACACAUGACUGACAGGUGUUUCUUGAUGCCCAGGUGUGUUUUGUUAGAUUAAUCAGUUAAAUAAUUACCCACUCUGAAUGUCUGCCCUGGGUUUCACCUGUGAAGAAUGUAUUUGUGGUUAAAAAGUGAUAAACUAAUAUGAAUUCCAGAGUGCAGUCUGUGGGAGAAAAGUAAGCGAUUUUAAAGCUUUAAAACGAGAGUAAAGCAUCCAGAGCAAUUGCACAAGUGCUGAGAAUAGACAGAACAGCAAUUUGGAAUUUCCCAAAAAUGAAAGAGACCACUGGUAUGCUAACAACCAGACACUGAACAGAUAGGCAAAAGAAAACACAAGCAGUUACAAGCAUUGUGAGAACUGUGAAGAAAACCCAAAACAACAGUCAAUGACAUCAUCAACUGCCUCCACAGGGCAGGGGCUGAAAGUGUUAUAAUCCACAGUCAUAAGAAGACUUUGAGAGCAGAAAUAUAGAAGCCAUGUCACAAGAUGCAGACCAUCUCAUCAGAAAUAAUAACCAGAUGAUCCACGAUAGUUCUGGAUCCAAGAUUAACUUCUACCAAAAUGAUGGAAAGGCCAAAGUGUAAAGAAAGAAUGAACGUGUAUUGGAGAGAUAUUUUACCAGAAGUGAUUUAUUCUCUUGUUUUAACCAAUAAAAAAACAGCCAUGUUUUCUUCAAAAACACAUACUGACCAUAUAAUAUGUUAUACGGCAAAUCCUCACACCCCUGAAAACAUACUUAGUGAAUCUGAUGAGCUAAAAAUAACGAUGCUGUACAAGAUGCCUUGGUCAGUCCAUGUUGGUUUACCUUCACGUGUGAGGAUUUAGGUGAAGAUGAGUUGCUCGGCAACUGUGUGCACGAGUGAGGAGUGGGAGUGCACACUAACUAGGCGGAAUGACGCAAAACGGCAUUAUUUGUCGCCGGCCAAUUCUAAAUGACAGCUGCACUACAAAUCCUCUAAUGUAUCCUCUCAUCCCUCACAAAGCUGAGUGCUCCCGAUCAACGGCAGAGAAAAUGGGGUGUCACGGUAAUGCUAGCUCCAUCGAGGGACAGUGUGUCACAAAGACAAAAGCAAAGGAAAAAGGCAACAAAACCUACUGGACCUUUAGAAAACAUUGUACCGUACAACAAACAAUGAAAGACUUGAUCCUUCUGAAAAAAUUUUGAAACUAGCAGAACCUACAGAUAAAUAGCUGAUAAACAGCUAAAUACAGAGCAGUCACAUGUUUAUAUCACACAAAAAAAAAUGGUCCCAUUAGCAGUGGACCAAGCGACCACAACUCAGUGACUGUAGAGAAAAGUCAAAUUAGUGACUACAAAACAGCACAAAUACCCAAGCAUGCCACUUUCCCUCCUUGAUUCCUGAAAGUAAUAAACUUGUUUACUUUGAUCAUUGACUGAUAUACACUGCUACACUGCAUCUUCAUGGCUCGACUCUGAUGUGUGGCAGAAAAUACUCAAGGUUGCCAGAUGUAAGUGACAAAAAUGAACACAAAGUUCAAUUAAACCAGUGCAAUUAAAAAAACAACUGACUUUCUAAAAUCAUAUAUUAAACCAAAUGACUAUGAUGGCCAUAUAAAUAGUACAACAAAGCAGCAUCAUAUUACACUUUAAAUAAAACAGAACUGAAUACAGUAUCAGCAAGACGAUGUACACUGAUCAGGUAUAACACUGUGAGCAGUGCCCGGUGAAGUGAAUAAGACUGAGUAUCUCCUCAUCAUGGCACCUGUUAGUGGGUGGGAUAUAUUAGGCAGCAAGUCAACAUUUUGUCCUCAAAGUUGAUGUUAGAAGCAGGAAAAAUGGACAAGUGUAAGGAUUUGAGCUUUGAGUUUGAUGAAGGACCAAAUUGUGAUGGCUAGACCACUGGAUCAGAACAUCUCCAAAACUGCAGCUCUUGUGGGGUGUUCCCGGUCUGCAGUGGUCAGUAUCUAUCAAAAGUGGUCCAAGGAAGGAACAGUGGUGAACCGGAGACAGGGUCAUUGGCGGUCAAGGCUCACUGAUGCACGUGGGGAGUGAAGGCUGGCCCGUGUGAUCCGAUCCAACAGACGAGCUACUGUUGCUCAAAUUGCUGAAGAAGUUAAUGCUGGUUCUGAUAGAAAGGGGUCAGAAUACACAGUGCAGGACGGGUCAGGGCUGUUUUAGCAGCAAAAAGGGGACCAACACAAUAUUAGUCAUAAUGUUAUGGCUGAUCAGUGUAUAGCCAAACAAUUCCUCAUUUACUCUAAUACUCUAAUUAUUUCCACACUUCUCAGAAUGGAUUCCACCAGAAUUUGGAACAUAGCUGUGGGGAUUUGUCCAUUCUGCCACAAGAGCAGCGUUAUAGUGUGCAGUGUUUUGCAGUGAUUUGGCAAACCAAAUCUUCAUCGAGCUCACACUGUGUGUGUGUGUGUGUGUGUGUUAUAGACAUUUACUGUUUGGAUUAAAAAAACAAACAGAAAAACUCCAAUUCACCUAUUUGCCUUGCAAAGUGCCGGUAUCUAAAGUAUGCAAAAUGUUUACCUCUAAUCCGAGUAUAAAAUUCAUUCUGCAGCAGUGGGAAAAGUCAUUUUCAAGUCAAACAGUACAUCUUCAUAUAAGUCCAUUAAGUAAAAUUCACAAGAAAAUUUAGAAAUUUUAGAAAUAAAAUUCAGUCAAAUUCAGUAGUUUAUUGGAGAGGGCGUAUAAAAGAAGGGGAAAAAAACGAUACAAAAGUGAGUUUCCAUGCAGUGGACACACCUAGGGUACUUUAGCAGAUUCAUGCAAUUUCAAGUGUCACCAUAGCAACAAGUGAAGAUGAUCCAGGCCACCUCGCAUACCUGACAAUCCGCCAUGUUCACUUGUUGCUAUGGUAAAUACUUUAAUGAGAACAUUUCCAAAAGCAGGUUUAUUAAGCUCAGUGUUUUCACUCGACAGCAGCGCAGUGAUCAAUCACAGUGUUCUGGGGCAUGGAGGCACUUCCUUGGGAGGAUUAUUAACAUACCCAAAACACCCCCCCCCCCACCCCCCACAUACAAACACAUUAAGGCUAACUCUUCUUAAAUGACGCUGUACAUAGAGCACAUAGAUCAGGGGUUCCCUAAUUUUUUGCAAACUGAAGCCCUUAAUUUUUUAACCUAUAUGAUACUUUAACCAGACUAAUAUUUUAAAUGUUUCUUUUUAAUGACUAAUAUUACUAUUCAGUUUGUGAAAUAUUUUCAUCUGUACUAUAUUUAUACCUGUAUUGUUCCAAUUUGUAUUAGAUAUAAAGAAAUAUUUGGACACAUAGCUUUAAUUUGAAGGUAUUUACAUUCCAAUCAGAUGAAGAGUUUAGGAAUUUCAGCACCUUUUAUUUGUGGUUCCCUCUUCUCAAGAGACCAAAAGUAAUUGGACAUCUGGCUGCUCAGCUGUUCCAUUUCCAUGUGUGUUUUUUUCCCUCAUUAUAUCACUUACAACAUUUUAUUUCAGCCCUGCAUUUGCAUUUGGAGUCUGUUACUAGCCACUCUCAAUAUGCAGACCAACACACUAUCACUGCCUGAGCAUUAGAGCUUUACAUAACCUUUACAGCUUAACAGAAAAAUAUACAUUUUAGAUAUAUAUUUUAACUUAUCUUUAAUGAGCAAGCCAGAGGCUAUAGUGGCUCCCUGAGACGAUAUUAGAAAGGAAUCUCCAGAGGAACCUGACUGAAAAGGGAACCUCAUCCUCAACUGGCUGACACCAGAUAGUGCAAUUAUAAAUAAUUUCCCUUUUAUAACUGAACUAUAUGGUCAAAACCCUUUUUAGUAAUAACAUGAAGUCUAUUUUGUUAUCAGCUGUUUAGUGAUGGAGACUUGAGUGCAAAACUCUAGUAGUUACAGUCUAAAGCCAUCUCUACAGUAAGUGGUAUCUUAGCAGCGCAUUAAAAAAAACUGUUUGUUAAGUAAGAAAAGAAAACAAUUUUUUCUUCAUAUGAUGAAGACAUUAAUGUAAAAUUUUUUGGAAUGAGUCUCCAGUGUCAGCAUUUCGUAUCAGUCCGCAAGGAAGACAUUCAUGAUUUCUGAUUUCUUUGUGACAUGCUGCAUAUGUGUGUGUGUGUGUGUGUGUGUGUGUGUGUUUUGUCCUGCACUGAGAGAGAAAAAAAUGGCAAGGCUUUUGAAGAAAAGACAAGCUGCAUAAUAUAAUUAAAAACAAGAAGUAACUUUGAGGAAGUUUCUCAACAUUACAUGUAGCUACAAAUACCUAAAAAAAAUUAUAAAAUAAUGUCAUUCUUUAAUUAAGGAAUCAUUAGUGAACUGCUGUGCUGUAAUAGAAAUAAUUUUGGGAUGUGCUGUUAUGGGAAAAUAAUCAACUUUUGGAUACUCUGAAGGCUGCUUCACACACAACAUUGUUGGUUGUUUGUCUACAGCAGCACAUCCUGUCAGGUUUUAUUUCUCACGGUGCUCUGUAUGAUCGCUGUGGAGCUUUCUGGAAUCUCUUUCAGUGUCCAGGAGUGAAAUAUACAGCAGAUCUGUGUAACUGAAACCUUCAUUAUUUGGCAGAUAUCUGCUCUGGAAUUCAUUAUAUAAUGUCCACAUAGUGUAUUGCACAGUUACAUAAAAAAAUAUUUCGCUGUUAGCUUCUAAUAAUCAAAAUUCAAGAGCGUGUUUUCAUACUCAACAUUUUCCUGCAAUGUUCAGCAGAGUGCACAGAGCAGGAGGUGAGAGAGCUGGACAGAACUAAAGCACUGCUGCAUCACUCUUCUUAAGUAGAGAUGAAGCAAGGGGAAAAGUCCCACUUGCAAAGGGAAAAUAGUAAUUUAAAGUAAUUUUAGUGCAAUUAAAAGAUCACAUAUUGAUUAUAAAUAUUAAAAUUCAGUUCAUUCUUAUUUUAAUCCCCAGUAGGGAUUAUUUUAUUAUUUAUUUAUUUCAGAUCCAUCAGUCCCUUUAUUAAAGUUCCUGUUCAAGAUCCUAACUACAAUCUGCAAAUUCUUAUCAGUGGAUCUGCAGAUAUGUGUAGUUUAUGUAGUUUGGCAGAAAGAUAAACACAGCUGUUCCUUACAUCAUUUAUUUGUAUCACGUGAAGAGAACCAUCGAUCUACCCACAAGUCCAGUUAUGAUCUAGCCUGAGCCAUGACAUUUCAGCUGUUUGUCUAACGUUAAAGCUUACUAACAAGAUAAAUCAUUUCACUCCUUCAUCACAAAAGUCAAUAUAAUUGACUUCACAGUCGUCCCAGCAUCUUCUGACUCUUAACACUGACAUGAGACCAGGAAGCAGAAAUCUUCUCUUAUUUACACACCUAUUGUGCUCCAAUUGCUAAAGACUUCUAUUAUUAACUUCAUCUCAUUAAACACUGCAGAUAUACGCAGAGCUUCGUAUGAUGGUCCCUGACUGUCACGUGAUAUGUUUUUUAUGUGAACAUGAUUUAAGGUGAUUUUACCUGUUUAUUUUUUAGUCAUAGCCCCAUUGUUGUUUUCAAAUGUCACAUUCAGUUGGCAUAUCAAUAAUCAAAGGUUCAUUACAUCCAUUUUCUCAGAAAAGCUGACGUCAAGCCGAGCACACAGUGAGUCACCUGGUAAAAGCUAGAACCGUCAUUUAAGCUGUGUUCAGCUAUAGAUAUGAAGAAGUAGAUACCUCACCAAGUUAGCAUGACGCGUUUCCAACAUGAUUCUCUUCAUGAACAAUGUUGUAGAAAGAUUUAAGGAGAGUAACCUUUUCCCCAUAGAUGUUGGGGCUGUGUUCAUGGUAAGUGCCACGUGGAACAUGGAAUCACUGGACCAUGGAGAACGCUGUGAAAAUGUAUGUUCUGUGUAACACAGCAGCUACAUGCUAAAAACAUUAAAUCUGUUCACAUUUAAUAAACAACAGCAUACAACAAGCAAGAGUGCAGAUAUACUGAACACUGACAUGGCUGUAAUUUAGCUGUAGAUUACUCACACCCUUGUGAUAUUCAGUAUAAAUACACUGUGUGAUGUUGCAUUUAUACAACAGUUCUCUAAACAACAAAUGAAUAUUAAGUGAUAUUUCUGACACAAUGUACAAACUUUCAGACUUUAGCAGCAGGAUCAGCAGGUAAUUGAAUGCCGUUGUGUUUGAUAUAGAAAACCAUUAACCAGGGUGAAAAUAGACGAUUAAAAAAAACCCGUUUUGAAUUGAAUUGAAUGCCGUUGUGUUUGAUAUAGAAAACCAUUAACCAGGGUGAAAAUAGACGAUUAAAAAAAACCCUCAGAAAUUCAUUUCAAAAUAAGUCGACAAAAUUUAGUUUAAUAUUCAGAAAUAAUAUUAUCAACUAUGGUAGGGUUUUCCUUUCAUUUGUCUCAGCAUAAAACUUCACAAUAAUAUUAGGUAACAGACUGCAGAGUGACCUCUGUGUGUGUGUGUGUGUGUGUGUGUGUGUGUGUGUGUGUGUUGAACCCCUUGCCCUCAGGCUGUAGCAGUACACACAGCCGUGACUCAUGGGACACGUGAACGGGGGCUAUGUGAUGGCCUUGGUCAGGCUGCACUACACUCUCGGUUCUCAGAAAGCGGCCUGCGGUCACCAAUACAUUCCAGAUGCAUUUAGUACAGCACUGUGGUGACAUUCAUCAGGACACUAACCCAGAUCACCACGAGCAGCUGCAGAGCUACAGUCAAGUGGAACCUUUACACCUGAGCACAGGGCGUGGAGGAACUUAAAUAGUGCAACACACGCCUUUCUCCAACAGCUUAUAAAUGAGAACAGUGUGUGUGUGUGUGUGUGUGUGUGUGUGUGUUGUUUUUUGUGCUAUGUAUAUAUUCAUUUUGGGAUUUAAUUACAGCAUACCGGAGGGGGCUUUUUUAAGGAGGUGGUUAUAAGAGAACAGUAGAUUGUGUCUGCCAUGUUGGAAAGGCCAACUUCAGUCAUCAGGAACAGUGUAGAUGUACAAUGCCGAAAAUCAGUUAAAGCCCAUUAGGUUUAAGUGACCUUGAGGUCAGGGUCCUGCAUGUCCCCGUGUCACAGAUGAUAAACAUACAUGUCAUGGAGAAUUUUCUGACUGGUAUCUGUUGGAAACUUUUACACCUGUACUUGAUAUAUUUUGUAAAAUGUAAUAUAUUUUUCCGUCUUUCAUCACAAAGCUAGAGUCUUGUAUUAAAGCAUAAAAAACGUAGUGUCAUAUGGUCAUGUUCUGUCUAUUUCUAUCUGAAUUAGUCUAAUUAUUAUACAGUCCACUAUUACAGUAAUAUUAUAUUUGCAAAUUAAUUCAAUUGUCUGUAGAAUUCAGAUGUAUUGGAUUGCCAGAUCAGCAGCUGAUGAUUAUAUUUAUAUUUCUGUUGUAUAUCUUGUUAUUAAAAUGUUAUUAUUAUUAAAAGUUGCUACUGAGUGUUAAAUGCCUGACAGUGUUUGAUAGAAUUAACACAAAUUAGUUUAUAUUGAACUGUGAUACACAAAAAUACACAACACAACAAUAAACAGUAUUUAAUGUACAGUGUUUUAGAAAUUUUAGAGACUGAUGUUGAUGCUCAUUUUCUUCUGUGUUUCUUUUUGUGUUAUGCUGUUACUGCAAGAUAUAUAUCUGACAUGUUUUUAUUUUAUUUUUACUAGUGUUUUGUUUUUGCUUUUGUUUUGUUUUUCCUUUAAACCUUUCAUAUAGAAUUUUAGAAAUGAUUGGGGAUUAAUGUGAAAGCUAUUUUUUAUUUUAAG